RNAcentral lists this small nucleolar RNA (78 nucleotides) under Oncorhynchus mykiss (rainbow trout). The record is from RNAcentral. Lineage: Eukaryota; Metazoa; Chordata; Actinopteri; Salmoniformes; Salmonidae.
AUGCAAUGAUGAUUUUUGAAUUUCUUCACCUGAAAUAAUAAUAAUGAAGUUUUAUUGAGCUUUUUAACCCUGAGCAUC